GCGGCGUGCCUAAUACAUGCAAGUCGAGCGAAGUUUUUCUGGUGCUUGCACUAGAAAAACUUAGCGGCGAACGGGUGAGUAACACGUAAAGAACCUGCCUCAUAGACUGGGACAACUAUUGGAAACGAUAGCUAAUACCGGAUAACAGUAUUUCUCGCAUGAGAGAUAUUUAAAAGUUGGUUAUGCUAACACUAUGAGAUGGCUUUGCGGUGCAUUAGCUAGUUGGUGGGGUAAAGGCCCACCAAGGCGACGAUGCAUAGCCGACCUGAGAGGGUGAUCGGCCACACUGGGACUGAGACACGGCCCAGACUCCUACGGGAGGCAGCAGUAGGGAAUCUUCCGCAAUGGGCGAAAGCCUGACGGAGCAACGCCGCGUGAGUGAAGAAGGAUUUCGGUUCGUAAAGCUCUGUUGUUAGGGAAGAAUGGAUAUGUAGUAACUAUACAUAUAAGA
Molecule: ribosomal RNA, 451 nt
Filed under: Gemella morbillorum
Lineage: Bacteria; Bacillati; Bacillota; Bacilli; Caryophanales; Gemellaceae
Description: bacterial SSU rRNA
Rfam family: Bacterial small subunit ribosomal RNA
Source: RNAcentral